AACGAACGCUGGCGGCAUGCCUAACACAUGCAAGUCGAACGAGACCUUCGGGUCUAGUGGCGCACGGGUGCGUAACGCGUGGGAAUCUGCCCUUGGGUUCGGAAUAACAGUUGGAAACGACUGCUAAUACCGGAUGAUGACGUAAGUCCAAAGAUUUAUCGCCCAAGGAUGAGCCCGCGUAGGAUUAGCUAGUUGGUGAGGUAAAGGCUCGCCAAGGCGACGAUCCUUAGCUGGUCUGAGAGGAUGAUCAGCCACACUGGGACUGAGACACGGCCCAGACUCCUACGGGAAGCAGCAGUGGGGAAUAUUGGACGAUGGGCGAAAGCCUAAUCCAGCAAUGCCGCGUAAGUGAUGAAGGCCUUAGGAUUGUAAAGCUCUUUUACCCGAGAUGAUAAUGACAGUACCGGGAGAAUAAGCUCCGGCUAACUCCGUG
Molecule: ribosomal RNA, 433 nt
Filed under: uncultured bacterium
Lineage: Bacteria
Description: partial 16S ribosomal RNA
Rfam family: Bacterial small subunit ribosomal RNA
Source: RNAcentral